Hordeum vulgare subsp. vulgare (domesticated barley) is the source of this 588-nucleotide long non-coding RNA. RefSeq lists it as uncharacterized. NCBI's taxonomy places the organism in Eukaryota, Viridiplantae, Streptophyta, Magnoliopsida, Poales, Poaceae. The transcript has 2 exons. The record is from RefSeq and is a predicted model, not a curated record.
UAACCUGACUUUCUGGAACAUGCUCAGUUCAGCUGAAAGGAUGUAUUGCAAUUAUGCAGAGAGAUGGAAUUGUCCGGACUCCAGUGCCACCUUCACCGAUCAACAACAUGCCAAGACACUGCCACAAGAGAUCCACCACCUCAGACGGUGCUGACAAGGGUGCAAAGCACUCUGCGGUAGAGCUUUGGUACCGGGUUUUAAAGUGAACAUUUGCCCUCAUGAAGCCCCCACUUUGUGGCCAUUGCAGCUGUGGCUAAGGAGGAUGCCCGUCAGCGCCAGCUCACUGCUUGCCUGUGUAAUUGAUCUAUAUUUCCAGCCUUUUUGUUUAGAGUAACUACAACAACGCCUAGAAAGAAUGAAAGACCAUUUUUGCCAUGCCUAUUUGGCCACUGAACAAAGAACUUUUUGUUUAGCUGCACUUUUUGUCUCAACUAUUUUGUUCUUGCUCUCAAGAACAAGACAUGUAGUCGUGUAUUCUAAAUGUAAUCAAGCACUUCCUAAUAUUGAUGUACCCCCUCAGGUGUAUUGGUACUGGUACAUAUUCGUCAUAACACUACCAAUCAUAUAUAGUAAAUUCAAAGGUCUCUA